GAUGAACGCUGGCGGCGUGCCUAAUACAUGCAAGUCGAGCGAACAGACGAGGAGCUUGCUCCUCUGACGUUAGCGGCGGACGGGUGAGUAACACGUGGAUAACCUACCUAUAAGACUGGGAUAACUUCGGGAAACCGGAGCUAAUACCGGAUAAUAUAUUGAACCGCAUGGUUCAAUAGUGAAAGACGGUUUUGCUGUCACUUAUCGGUGGAUCCGCGCCGCAUUAGCUAGUUGGUAAGGUAACGGCUUACCAAGGCGACGAUGCGUAGCCGACCUGAGAGGGUGAUCGGCCACACUGGAACUGAGACACGGUCCAGACUCCUACGGGAGGCAGCAGUAGGGAAUCUUCCGCAAUGGGCGAAAGCCUGACGGAGCAACGCCGCGUGAGUGAUGAAGGUCUUCGGAUCGUAAAACUCUGUUAUUAGGGAAGAACAAAUGUGUAAGUAACUAUGCACGUCUUGACGGUACCUAAUCAGAAAGCCACGGCUAACUACGUG
RNAcentral lists this ribosomal RNA (497 nucleotides) under uncultured bacterium. RNAcentral's name for it is "partial 16S ribosomal RNA". It matches the Rfam family "Bacterial small subunit ribosomal RNA", at positions 28 to 507 of the family's 1533-position model. The record is from RNAcentral.